RNAcentral lists this transfer RNA (67 nucleotides) under Loxodonta africana (African savanna elephant). The stretch from base 9 to 67 matches the Rfam family "tRNA". Rfam says of the family: Transfer RNA (tRNA) molecules are approximately 80 nucleotides in length. Their secondary structure includes four short double-helical elements and three loops (D, anti-codon, and T loops). Lineage: Eukaryota; Metazoa; Chordata; Mammalia; Proboscidea; Elephantidae. The record is from Rfam by way of RNAcentral.
GGUGGUAUAGUGGUUAAGCACUUGGCUGCUAACCAAAAGGCUGAUGGUUCAAACCCACCAGCCACUG